This 253-nucleotide ribosomal RNA is filed under the name uncultured bacterium. RNAcentral describes it as "partial 16S ribosomal RNA". It matches the Rfam family "Bacterial small subunit ribosomal RNA", at positions 524 to 776 of the family's 1533-position model. The record is from RNAcentral.
UACGAAGGGGGCUAGCGUUGCUCGGAAUCACUGGGCGUAAAGCGCACGUAGGCGGCUUUUUAAGUCAGGGGUGAAAUCCUGGAGCUCGACUCCAGAACUGCCUUUGAUACUGAGAAGCUUGAGUCCGGGAGAGGUGAGUGGAACUGCGAGUGUAGAGGUGAAAUUCGUAGAUAUUCGCAAGAACACCAGUGGCGAAGGCGGCCUUCUGGACAGUGACUGACGCUGAGACGCGAAAGCGUGGGGAGCAAACAGG